This is a non-coding RNA of Oryza sativa Japonica Group (Japanese rice), 1098 nucleotides long. The record is from RefSeq and is a predicted model, not a curated record. Lineage: Eukaryota; Viridiplantae; Streptophyta; Magnoliopsida; Poales; Poaceae.
UGAAUAAUUAGAUAACUACUAUGUAGUGGACCCCAGGUAAUUUUUUUUUUUCAUAGGUUCGCCACUUGUUUGAGUGGUUGGCGAACUGGCCCAGAAGUCCAUGCGUGCUGUGGAAAGCACAACGACCUCAUGACGUGGUAAGAACAAUUACCACCACACCUUCUUCAAGAUGCUUAGGAACUGGUCCUUCGGAUACUACGUUCAAGACCUCACUGAGAAUCUAUUUUUUAAUGUCUCCAGAUUAAAAAGGAUGCGGCUGCGUGUUUUGAUUAUUUUUUGCUGUUGCAAAGGUGCAAACCGCAGCUCGUGUCCCUGGCGCAAGCAGGGAAUGAGAUCGCCCGGGAGAGUCUGAAGCAUGAAAGUUGUUUUUCUUGAGGGUUUCUUGUGUGAGAUUGGGGUUUCAUGUCUGUAUGUGCGUGUUCGUGUGGACAUCAAAAUUUUUGGUGGUGUUUUGCAGACCUAAGUAGCUUGGAUCCGUCUGUGAUGGAAGCUGUCUUAACAAACUACUUGCUGUAAGUUUACAUUCUAUGGCUUUGGUGCAGUUCUAAUGGAUUUCAACAUCUCACUGUGAUGUUGCAACGGAUGCUUCAUUUUCAAAGAUCAAGGCCAUUGCAAAGGGAGUAAACCCAGAAGAAAAUGGAAAGAAAUAUGCUCCCAUGUACUCGAUGAAUGAUGUUAGUGGUGCACUACUGCAGUUUGCUGUUCAACAACUCAAUGAUUUUGUACCUUUUUAUUUGAUAUGCAGAUGCAGGUGCCUCUGAUUGCUGGAAGCAAGUUAUCCCUCUCAAUUGCAGGGGCUAAUGUUGAACCAGAGCCAACUACUGACCGAUUCGUCGAUAUCAUGGUAAAUGAUAAACACUUUUCUUUUAUUUUUUUUACAAAUUUGAUUGAUGAAAUAUUUGCACUUUGUUCGAAGUUUGAUGAUUGUCAAAAUCUUGAUGAUUAGUCUACAGCGUCUGAACAGCUAGAAAAGAGCAUGUGAGUGUUGGGGAUAAAAUGGUACUAUACCUCCUGUUGUAAUUGCUCACUUCCAUAGCCUUCGGGGAGUUCAAAGUUUAUACUGCAAGUCUGCAACAACAAUGAUGAUUCUUUUUGUCA